UACAUUUCGGUAUUGAAGUGAAUGUACAAUUCUUUAUGCUGUAAAAGAAAGGUCAGGUCCUUUUAGCGGGAACCUAAACUUCCUGGAGCUGCAUUCGAAUAUCGUUGGAUGUUGAUGCUGGAACUGGCGUGAACAGGAAGUUGGGGGAGGCACUCAAUGGUAGGGCGUCACUGCACUUACUCAGUACUUCCUCUACAGCUCUCUGUGUAGAAAAAUUGAGUUUUCAGUUACCAUGGCAUUCACAAGGUCCAAGGAGGACGACACUAAUUCAGUAUACCCCAGCUUUAUCCAUGCAAAACACCAAGACAAGCUUAAGCUACAGAAUGGUAACAGAGAUGGGACAGGACAAGGAUUCACUAUUGUGAAUAGCACAUCUUUACCUCAACCACUUUGACCAACUCGACCAGGUCAAUUUGGCGUGACUCCACAGGCUGGGGGAUCUCAAGACUGCUCUGCUUUGCAUCCUCCAGUAAAGGCUCAACUGCGAGAAAGCAUGGAUUUGCCAGGUCAAGCGUCUGAGCCUGAGGAACUGAGAGAUGAUCUACUAGUGUGAUUUAUGCUGAUGGAAUUUACCUCUGGAUCGCUUCUUUUGUAGCAGGAAGGGUAAAUACCAGUGACCUCAGCAGACCAGCUAAUCAUCCACAUCCCACCAGUUUGCAAGUGGACCAACCUUUGUGAAGAACUUGUGGCCACGGAUAUUCUGCGAUGACGGGCGAUCCUGUGGGUCGAUUUGAAAUAUUUUGCCCAUCAGUUUCCCAGCUUCAAUACCGAGGUUCUGGGGUAGAAUAAAUUUAGCUUCUUUGAUGUUCUUUAUCAUUUCACAGCGAUCGUCGUGAUCGAAUGGGAUUUCCCCAACCAGAAGCUGGUACCUGUAGUAAGAAAGGCAGCAAAGGUGUUUGAGGUCUUUCACAUUUGACAUAAAAAUGCUGUGCUUCCAAAAGAGCAAUUCCUCUCAACUGUGUGCCAGUAUUCAUUUUUCUUUUCUAUUUCAAGUAGAAAAAAAAAACAUAUUUAUGUAUGUUAGACGCAUGUCUUCUUAAAAUGUUAGACAGAUUUUAUUAGCCAUGCUGAUCUUUGGCCGGGAGGAGGGUUGAUAGGGUAUA
Long non-coding RNA from Brienomyrus brachyistius, 1103 nucleotides. RefSeq lists it as uncharacterized. The transcript has 4 exons. Lineage: Eukaryota; Metazoa; Chordata; Actinopteri; Osteoglossiformes; Mormyridae. The record is from RefSeq and is a predicted model, not a curated record.